Molecule: ribosomal RNA, 460 nt
Filed under: uncultured bacterium
Lineage: Bacteria
Description: partial 16S ribosomal RNA
Rfam family: Bacterial small subunit ribosomal RNA
Source: RNAcentral
CCUACGGGUGGCAGCAGUGAGGAAUAUUGGUCAAUGGACGCGAGCCUGAACCAGCCAUGCAGCGUGAAGGAUGACUGCCCUAUGGGUUGUAAACUUCUUUUAUAAAGGAGUAAAGUGAGGCACGUGUGUCUUUCUGUAUGUACUUUACGAAUAAGGAUCGGCUAACUCCGUGCCAGCAGCCGCGGUAAUACGGAGGAUCCGAGCGUUAUCCGGAUUUAUUGGGUUUAAAGGGAGCGUAGACGGAUUGAUAAGUUAGUUGUGAAAGUUUGGGGCUCAACCGUAAAAUUGCAAUUGAUACUGGCAGCCUUGAGAACAGAUGAGGUAGGCGGAAUGCGUGGUGUAGCGGUGAAAUGCUUAGAUAUCACGAAGAACUCCGAUUGCGAAGGCAGCUUACUAAUCUGCCACUGACAUUGAUGCUCGAAAGUGUGGGGAUCAAACAGGAUUAGAUACCCGGGUAGUC